Diachasma alloeum is the source of this 1104-nucleotide long non-coding RNA. RefSeq lists it as uncharacterized. Lineage: Eukaryota; Metazoa; Arthropoda; Insecta; Hymenoptera; Braconidae. The record is from RefSeq and is a predicted model, not a curated record. The transcript has 2 exons.
GGUCUCGCUCCGUUCUCGUCCCGCUUCAAAUGGCGAGAGUCGGGCGAGAGUCCCCCUUGUUCGCUGCCGCUCUCGCCUGACUCUCGCGUUGACUCACCCAUCCAAAGUUAGCCACUCAUUACCAUCAUUAUUGAUUUUUGACGAAUGCAUUCGAUAGUUCGUCAAUUGUUCUUGAUUGUUCGAGGAUUUUCAGCGUUUGUUCCCCAGCCAAUUAUUUCUAAUUGAUUUUUUAUUUUUUCCUCCCAUGUUUCCUCAAUUUAGCCCCUCCCACGUAAAGAUCUAAUCAUUUUAAAUUGUUCCUUCUGAUGAAUCGUUUGUUCGUCGUUUGUUCCUCCCUAAGACACUGCUGAGGUAAUCGAUAGGUUGAUCCUUUCAAUUGAUUUCCUCUCAAUCGUUAAAAGAGUGGCAUAUACUAUAGCACCAAAUUUUACUACCAGCAGCUAUAGUUCGUGAUACGCUGAUGCUGUAUGUAUGUACAUGGAGUAUCAUUUCGGAGCAGAGAUCUUCAACUUUGUGUGAUAAAUCAAUCUAUCGAUUGUUCCAUUAAUGUAAUCAUACUGUUCCCUAAUUUAUCAUCACCAAUUAUUAUUGGUGAUUAUACUUUAUUCCCCCUCUGUGAGCUCGAACUAGUGGUAUUUCGAUGAUCAAAAAGUGCAUCAGUGUUGACAUUAACCUCAAUCCAGUGCGGUAGUAGUGCAUGACGAUUCAAUAAACUAAAUAAAAUUUCGGGAAGGGUCUGGUGAACAGUCGAAAAAUCAUCCCUUUUUGCAUUCAACUUCUAACAAGCAGCUGUUUUAUGAACUAUCGAACUUCCUGUAACAAUGGGUAUUUUUCUGGAUGUGGCUCUCGAAUUAUUAUUUGGAACGUGGUUGGAGAAGAGGAAUGAAAAACACGAAAAAUGCAUCAUGAAACAUUGAAAGACUCGGGGAGUUUGAAAAGCAUAUAAUUUAUUUAUGUAAAACCGGUUCACUUCGCUCCGAAUUCAAUGAAAUAAUACUUGGAAACCUAUCUGUUAAAUGUCAAUUCAAGUUUUUAUUCUGUCUUUGACUGAGUGUAUGAAAACAAAUGAGUAUCAUUCUACUAAUAAAUACAAUCAUGUGAAAA